This 253-nucleotide ribosomal RNA is filed under the name uncultured bacterium. RNAcentral describes it as "partial 16S ribosomal RNA". It matches the Rfam family "Bacterial small subunit ribosomal RNA", at positions 524 to 776 of the family's 1533-position model. The record is from RNAcentral.
UACGGAGGGUGCAAGCGUUGCUCGGAAUUAUUGGGCGUAAAGGGUAGGUAGGUGGUCUCAUUUGUCUGGGGUGAAAGCCUUGAGCUUAACUCAAGAAGUGCCCCAGAGACGGUGAGACUAGAGUUCUGGAGAGGGUCGUGGAAUUCCCGGUGUAGCGGUGAAAUGCGUAGAGAUCGGGAGGAACACCAGAGGCGAAGGCGGCGACCUGGACAGAUACUGACACUCAACUACGAAAGCGUGGGGAGCAAACAGG